GGAAUAUAAGAACCUGUCUCUUAACUUUUAACUAAAAAAAAUAAGAACCGGCUCUUAAAUAAGAGAUGUAAGAACCGGUUCUUAACUUUUUUAGUUAAAAGUUAAGAGACGGGUUCUUAUAUUCC
Brassica napus (rape) is the source of this 125-nucleotide non-coding RNA. Lineage: Eukaryota; Viridiplantae; Streptophyta; Magnoliopsida; Brassicales; Brassicaceae. The record is from Rfam.